GUGCUCACUUUGGCAGCACAUAUAUUAAAAUU
Molecule: small nuclear RNA, 32 nt
Filed under: Cervus elaphus hippelaphus
Lineage: Eukaryota; Metazoa; Chordata; Mammalia; Artiodactyla; Cervidae
Source: RNAcentral